This 2422-nucleotide ribosomal RNA is filed under the name human gut metagenome. Its description in RNAcentral is "bacterial LSU rRNA". It matches the Rfam family "Bacterial large subunit ribosomal RNA", at positions 14 to 2471 of the family's 2925-position model. The record is from RNAcentral.
AGGGCACAGGGCGGAUGCCUUGGCACUAAGAGCCGAUGAAAGACGUGAUAAGCUGCGAUAAGCUUCGGGGAGGAGCAAAUAUCCAUUGAUCCGGAGAUGUCUGAAUGGGGAAACCCACAUGAGCAAACCUCAUGUAUCCUACAGCCAAUACAUAACUGUAGGAAGGGAACCCGGGGAACUGAAACAUCUAAGUACCCGGAGGAAAAGAAAGAAAACUCGAUUCCGUAAGUAGCGGCGAGCGAACGCGGAGGAGCCUAAACCGGAAUGCGUGCAUUCCGGGGUUACGGACUGCAUUUAAGAUUCUUUGAAGCUAACAGAACGGUUUUGGGAAAGCCGGCCGGAGAGGGUGAAAGCCCCGUACGUGAAAGCUGAUGAGACUGAGCAGGAUCCAGAGUACCACGAGACACGUGGAACCUUGUGGGAAAUCAGGGGGACCACCCCCUAAGGCUAAAUACUACUUAGUGACCGAUAGCGCAUAGUACUGUGAAGGAAAGGUGAAAAGGACCCCGGGAGGGGAGUGAAAGAGAACCUGAAACCCUGUGUCUACAAGCUGUGGAAGCACUUUAUAUGUGCGACCGCGUACUUUUUGUAGAACGGUCCGGCGAGUUACGCUUACUGGCAAGGUUAAGCACUUCAGGUGUGGAGCCGUAGGGAAACCAAGUCUUAAGAGGGCCUUAAGUCAGUAGGAGUAGACCCGAAACCGGGUGAUCUAUCCAUGUCCAGGUUGAAGCUGCCGUAAGAGGUAGUGGAGGACCGAACCCACAUCCGUUGAAAAGGGUGGGGAUGAGGUGUGGAUAGGGGAGAAAUUCCAAUCGAACCCGGAGAUAGCUGGUUCUCCUCGAAAUAGCUUUAGGGCUAGCCUCGAUACAGAUUUGCGGAGGUAGAGCACUGAAUUUCCUAGGGGGCGUCAAAGCCUACCGAAGAAUAUCAAACUCCGAAUGCCGCGUAAUCGAUUAUCGGGAGUCAGACUGCACGAGAUAAGUUGGGCGGUCAAAAGGGAAAGAGCCCAGACCUUCAGUUAAGGUCCCCAAGUGCGCGUUAAGUGGAAAAGGAUGUGGGAUUUCGAAGACAACCAGGAUGUUGGCUCAGAAGCAGCCAUCCAUUCAAAGAGUGCGUAAUAGCUCACUGGUCGAGAGGUCCUGCGCCGAAAAUGUCCGGGGCUGAAACGCGCCACCGAAACUAAGGAACCGAAAGGUUGGUAGAGGAGCAUUGCAUGCGGGAAGAAGCAGUACCGUAAGGAGCUGUGGACUGCAUGGAAGAGAGAAUGCCGGAAUGAGUAGCGAGAAUAAGGUGAGAAUCCUUAUGGCCGAAUAUCCAAGGUUUCCAGAGUAAAGCUGAUCUGCUCUGGGUAAGUCGGGGCCUAAGGCGAGGACGAGAGUCGUAGCCGAUGGACAACAGGUGGAGAUUCCUGUACUGCGGUAUGACAGAACUGUGGGGACACGUAAGGAAAGCGGAAGCCGGGAAUGGAAAGCCCGGUGCAAGCGGGGUACCAGUCACUUUGGCAAAUCCGGGUGGCAAUGGGAAGCCGUGAUGCGGAGCGAAAUAAAGUAGCGAAGUCCGUGAGCCAUGCGUCAAGAAAAGCCGCUAUUGUUUAUACCGUACCCGUACCGUAAACCGACACAGGUGGAUGAGGAGAGAAUCCUAAGGCCGGCGGAAGAAGCAUUGUCAAGGAACUCGGCAAAAUGGCCCCGUAACUUAGGGAUAAGGGGUGCCUGGGAAACCAGGCCGCAGAGAAUAGGCUCAAGCAACUGUUUAGCAAAAACACAGGUCUAUGCGAAACCGAAAGGUGAGGUAUAUGGGCUGACGCCUGCCCGGUGCUGGAAGGUUAAGAGGAGAGGUUAGCGGUAACGCGAAGCUUUGAAUUUAAGCCCCAGUAAACGGCGGCCGUAACUAUAACGGUCCUAAGGUAGCGAAAUUCCUUGUCGGGUAAGUUCCGACCCGCACGAAAGGCGUAAUGAUUUGAGCGCUGUCUCGACAAUGCAUCCGGUGAAAUUGAAGUACCAGUGAAGAUGCUGGUUACCUGCGCCAGGACGGAAAGACCCCAUGGAGCUUUACUCCAGUCUGGUACUGGGACUCGGUAUUGCAUGUACAGGAUAGGUGGGAGGCUAGGAGAUGGUAACGCCAGUUGCCAUGGAGCCGCUGUUGGGAUACCACCCUUGCAGUAUUGGGUUUCUAACCAGCCGCCGUGACCCGGCGGUGGGACAAUGCCAGACGGGGAGUUUGACUGGGGCGGUCGCCUCCGAAAGGGUAUCGGAGGCGCCCAAAGGUUCCCUCAGAAUGGACGGAAACCAUUCGAAGAGUGCAAAGGCAGAAGGGAGCUUGACUGCGACACCGACGGGUGGAGCAGGUACGAAAGUAGGGCUUAGUGAUCCGGUGGUAUUAAGUGGGAAUGCCAUCGCUCAACGGAUAAAAGCUACCCUGG